AGUAGGUUGGCAGAACAGUGCCAUCAAUUUAGGAUUGAUAUACGGAAAUAAUCCACUUACUAUUUA
RNAcentral lists this transfer RNA (66 nucleotides) under Prosellodrilus biauriculatus. Its description in RNAcentral is "tRNA-Leu". Lineage: Eukaryota; Metazoa; Annelida; Clitellata; Crassiclitellata; Lumbricidae. The record is from RNAcentral.